CAAAAUACAUCGACGAUUCAAACUCGGAGCAACCGUAACCGGAACUGAGUCUACGUUUGCCGCCAGCAUUGCUAUGUGACAGUUGUGUGGCAUGCAUUAGAGUGCUUGUCGAUAGUGUACAGUGUACUGAAUGUAUACACCUCAAUUGUCAACAAGCUUGUGAAAAGUCGACAUGAGAUAUAUCGACAGACGCUCGACAUAACAUCGGCGAGCCCGCCAAGACCUGCCUAGCAACAGCCUCUUUCUCGUCCAACAACUCCAACUGUUGUGUUUUUACAGAUCCUAAAUUGAUUCUAUCCAGAAUGUCUAGCAACGAAAAAUACGUCCGUGCCCCGAAGUUUCUGCACGCGCAGACCACUGAUGAGGAGAGUGAGCCGAAUCAUCCGGAUGAUGCCACCUCAUCGAGCGACAUUGAAAACGAUUCUAUCGACGAAGAUAGUGAUUGCGACACCGCAAGCCACUUCGUAUCUCCCUCCGAAGAUCCGUCAUCCCAACAUCAAGAGUCCAACUUCGGCCAAAACACCACAAGCAAUAAUGCAAGUGAAAUUCCCGCUGUAGGGAACGUAAGGGUUAAGACGGUGUUAAGAUGGUAACUAGGAGUAAUUAGGAAAAGAGAGGAGAGGAAGCAGAGGCGCAAGAGAAAUCGUGAUCGUAGGACCCAUAGAUUUUACAAAUGAAAAUUCAGUUUGUUGGUUUGUUUAACUGUGAAUAGACGUGUUUGAUUUGUGGAAGUAAAAAAAAAACGUGUUCAGUUUCAUUCGGAAUGGAAAAUCACUACAAUGGCGCAAAGGCUCCCAGGGGGCAAAGAAAAAAGUAAGUGAAAUUUACUAAAGUGCUCAUUUCGUCUUUCUCGCUUCCACCCUAAA
This is a long non-coding RNA of Aedes aegypti (yellow fever mosquito), 866 nucleotides long. RefSeq lists it as uncharacterized. NCBI's taxonomy places the organism in Eukaryota, Metazoa, Arthropoda, Insecta, Diptera, Culicidae. The record is from RefSeq and is a predicted model, not a curated record. The transcript is spliced from 3 exons.